AAAUCUUGUAAAAUGCGGAUAAUAUGGCCUUGCGAAGUUUGCCGUUUUUCAGUCAUUUUGUAUUACAAUAUUAUUACAGUAUUUGUAAUACAAAAUGACUGAAAAACGGCAAACUUCGCAAGGCUAUAUUAUCCGCAUUUUACAACAUUUU
This 151-nucleotide microRNA precursor is filed under the name Paramuricea clavata. The record is from RNAcentral. Lineage: Eukaryota; Metazoa; Cnidaria; Anthozoa; Malacalcyonacea; Plexauridae.